UGACGGAACUCUUCGGAGGGAAGGCAGCGGAAUGAGCGGCGGACGGGUGAGUAACACGUAAGGAACCUGCCUCAAGGAUUGGGAUAACUCCGAGAAAUCGGAGCUAAUACCGGAUAGUUCAUCGGACCGCAUGGUCCGUUGAUGAAAGGCGCUCCGGCGUCACCUUGAGAUGGCCUUGCGGUGCAUUAGCUAGUUGGUGGGGUAACGGCCCACCAAGGCGACGAUGCAUAGCCGACCUGAGAGGGUGAUCGGCCACACUGGGACUGAGACACGGCCCAGACUCCUACGGGAGGCAGCAGUAGGGAAUCUUCCACAAUGGACGAAAGUCUGAUGGAGCAACGCCGCGUGAGUGAUGAAGGUUUUCGGAUCGUAAAACUCUGUUGUAAGGGAAGAACACGUACGAGAGGAAAUGCUCGUACCUUGACGGUACCUUACGAGAAAGCCACGGCUAACUACGUGCCAGCAGCCGCGGUAAUACGUAGGUGGCAAGCGUUGUCCGGAAUUAUUGGGCGUAAAGCGCGCGCAGGCGGCCUUUUAAGUCUGAUGUGAAAGCCCCCGGCUCAACCGGGGGAG
RNAcentral lists this ribosomal RNA (573 nucleotides) under Exiguobacterium indicum. Its description in RNAcentral is "bacterial SSU rRNA". It matches the Rfam family "Bacterial small subunit ribosomal RNA", at positions 67 to 621 of the family's 1533-position model. Lineage: Bacteria; Bacillati; Bacillota; Bacilli; Caryophanales. The record is from RNAcentral.